RNAcentral lists this ribosomal RNA (508 nucleotides) under uncultured bacterium. Its description in RNAcentral is "bacterial SSU rRNA". It matches the Rfam family "Bacterial small subunit ribosomal RNA", at positions 772 to 1283 of the family's 1533-position model. The record is from RNAcentral.
ACUGAAUAGAUACCCGGGUAGUCCACGCCGUAAACGAUGAAUACUAGGUGUGGGGGUUGUCAUGACCUCCGUGCCGCCGCUAAACGCAUUAAGUAUUCCGCCUGGGGAGUACGGUCGCAAGAUUAAAACUCAAAGGAAUUGACGGGGGCCCGCACAAGCAGCGGAGCAUGUGGUUUAAAUUCGAAGCAACGCGAAGAACCUUACCUAGACUUGACAUCUCCUGAAUUACUCUGUAAUGGAGGAAGCCCUUCGGGGCAGGAAGACAGGUGGUGCAUGGUUGUCGUCAGCUCGUGUCGUGAGAUGUUGGGUUAAGUCCCGCAACGAGCGCAACCCUUAUUGUUAGUUGCUACCAUUUAGUUGAGCACUCUAGCGAGACUGCCCGGGUUAACCGGGAGGAAGGUGGGGAUGACGUCAAAUCAUCAUGCCCCUUAUGUCUAGGGCUACACACGUGCUACAAUGGCUGGUACAGAGAGAUGCAAUACCGUCGAGGUGGAGCCAAACUUUAACC